CAGCCGCCACGGUAACACGUAGGUGGCAAGCGUUGUCCGGAAUUAUUGGGCGUAAAGGGCUCGCAGGCGGUUUCUUAAGUCUGAUGUGAAAGCCCCCGGCUCAACCGGGGAGGGUCAUUGGAAACUGGGAAACUUGAGUGCAGAAGAGGAGAGUGGAAUUCCACGUGUAGCGGUGAAAUGCGUAGAGAUGUGGAGGAACACCAGUGGCGAAGGCGACUCUCUGGUCUGUAACUGACGCUGAGGAGCGAAAGCGUGGGGAGCGAACAGGAUUAGAUACCCGUGUAGUCCCUGUCUCUUAUAC
Molecule: ribosomal RNA, 301 nt
Filed under: uncultured bacterium
Lineage: Bacteria
Description: partial 16S ribosomal RNA
Rfam family: Bacterial small subunit ribosomal RNA
Source: RNAcentral